RNAcentral lists this transfer RNA (76 nucleotides) under Streptomyces griseus. RNAcentral's name for it is "tRNA-Arg(gcg)". Lineage: Bacteria; Bacillati; Actinomycetota; Actinomycetes; Kitasatosporales; Streptomycetaceae. The record is from RNAcentral.
CGGCUGCUGGGCCUGCGGGUAGCCGUAGCCCUGCGGCGGCUGCUGGGGCUGGCCGUACGGGUUCGGCUGCUGCGGC